Cinara cedri is the source of this 91-nucleotide non-coding RNA. The record is from the annotation of a GenBank genome assembly. NCBI's taxonomy places the organism in Eukaryota, Metazoa, Arthropoda, Insecta, Hemiptera, Aphididae.
CCUUCGGUAGCUCAGUUGGUAGAGCGGUGGACUGUAGAAGGUUUAAAACACAGAUAUCCAUAGGUCGCUGGUUCAAAUCCGGCCCGAAGGA